This is a long non-coding RNA of Melopsittacus undulatus (budgerigar), 3457 nucleotides long. RefSeq lists it as uncharacterized. Lineage: Eukaryota; Metazoa; Chordata; Aves; Psittaciformes; Psittaculidae. The record is from RefSeq and is a predicted model, not a curated record. The transcript has 7 exons.
CUCGGUGUUCUUAACCUACCUGAAGAGCUUUCUGGAGAGUCAAGACAGAAAGGAGCGUUGUAAAACUACUCCAGACUGAUGCCUCCUAUCUGGUGAUGUCUCUCACGUUUGCCUUGCUUCUCCACUUGUCUAUAAGGAACAAUUCCCCACCAGCCAAGCAGUUUAAAACACUUUUACCAGCAACCUUCUUUAAACCUUCUUUUGUGUCUCAUGUUUCAUGGUGGAUGAAAAAUGGUCUCAUUGAGAUGAUGAGAUUUCCCUUCCACUGUCCUGUCAGAGUGAACCUGGUGAAACUGAAGAUCCUGCAGCAAAAACGGGGUCAGAGCAAUCGCUGUAUUGUGCAACAAAUUGUUGCUGCCCUGGAAAGCAGGUUUUUUUUGCUGGAUGUUGUAUAAGCUGAUGGACAAGCAAUAUUAUUUAAGCUAAGAUUAUGUUGCAUUAGAGGUGAAAGCAAAAAAUAAUCACACUUCUGUACAUGUUCUAAGCCCUUUCCAGGCUUUUGUGCCUUAAACUCUUGGAGACCUAGGAACAAAAACUACCUGCAAUAAAUGUCUAUCCAAGAAAUCAUUUGGUAACUGAAGUUGCUGCUGCAAAGCAGUUCAUUGCCUCCCUGCCCAUGCUGGGGCAGAGGUUUGCCACAAGAUUUCAAUACUUUCAUAAAGCCUAAUUCUGCUACCCCUUUGUGUCCAUAGUUGUGAUGUAUUUGUCAGCCUGUGCUCUUCUUACCGACUGUGGUGGUUGACCAUGCUGUGCUUACGAGCAGAACAGUGAUGUGGUACAGUUGCUGAAUGACUGCAGGCUCCCUGUGUCCACCUCUGCUGUGCAUCUGACUGUGCUGUGGGCUGUUACCAUGUCCUAACCUUCAGUUGCUCUGAAUUUAAGGAGAUGAAUGUUCCCUGCCUGUGCUGGGAGUGUUGCAGAGAUGGAGGAGAGCAGAGUGCUUUGUUUCUUCUGACGGAGCUGCUCAGCACAGAGGAUGCCCCUCUUCUUGCAGAGGGCAUUUCAGAGCUCCUGGCCGUCAUUGCAGCAUCGGAAGCACAGAAGAGACUUUUCCAUGGAGCUACAGAGCCGUCACCUGCAGUUUGUCGAGUCUGUGCUUUGGAAUCCGAGUCAAAGGGAGCGUGGGAUUCUGUGCUCAUGGAUGGCUACAGGAAAAGCUUUCAUUAAUUGCCAUUUAGCCUAACAGCAGAUGAAAGACAAGGACUCCGUGGAGUAAGGUUUGCUCUCUGCAUCUUGGGAAGCAUUCUGGAUACACCAGCUUCUGGAGUUCAUUCCAUGCUUCUGCUCUAACGUUUCCAGGCUCAAAGCAAUGGUAGAUAACACAGGUAAGGUGGUAAGAGAUGGAGCUGUUCAUGGCAAGGGCUUGUCUUGUCCCCUCGGCACACAGGAUUCCCAGGGAGCACAGCAACCCACUUGGAUUCCUGAUUCAUCCUUGCUUUUCCUCACUGUUAGCUUCUCACAGAGUGCUUUCCUGCAGGAUGUCUGCUCCCACCUGUCUGGUGAUGGGAACUGCAGCCUCUUCCAUAGCGCAGGAGCAUCUCUCAGUGCUCCUUGUCCUGUGGAUGCUACAGAGGCUCCCAGCCAGAGCAGGAGGUUUCCUCAGGGCCUCCCCAAUGCAGGCAUGCAAUAGGAUUUUCUCUGCUCCUCUUUGGAACUCCGUCCACCAGCUCAUGCUGGGUUGGGGUCUGUUGGACAUCACAGGUUUUGGGUGUCCACCCAGUUGGAAGAUUGUCUUGCCAAACACUUGAUGUUUACCAAGGUCUGGAUCUGGGGGUUUCUUUCUUUUGCUACAGUGAUCUCCCAGUUUCUGCCCUGGGAUUUGACUGGGAGGUUUCGAGGUUCCCUUCACACCAGUGCCAAGCAGAAUCCAGGACACCCAGGGAAUGAACGCCUUGUGAUGGGGCAAAGCAGCCGCAGGAUCCAUGCAGGAGGUGCAGGAUGGGACUAGCUUUGACCAGGACUGUCUUUAGAAGAGCUUGGCCACACAAGGGUUGGGGCUCAUUCCCAGGCACAUGCUUUAAAUGAGGACCAUGUUGAUGUGGUUGCCAACCCCGCAUGUUUGUGGGGGGGUGACCAGCUCCAAAGGGUGAUUCCUGAGCGCUGGCAAUGGCUUUCAUCUGUGCCUUUUGCUCAGGCUUAAAACUAACUGUUGUUGCCCCUCAUCCUUUCUGCUCUUUCCCCAGGGCUCAGGGGCAGGAAGCAGUCUCCGGCUUCUCACCCCCGUUUCUCAUGGACCUGUGGCAUCAGCACCUGCAGGAAUUUCAGCAGUUGCUCCAAUCCAGUUGGUUGGAAUCCUUUCCAUUGACGAUGCACCCAACAGGAUUGCUUUGGCAGGCUACCGCGCGGUGACUUCCGCCUCUUUCUACGAUGGCGGAUGGGGCUUACGGGGCGGGUGCCAUCGGCCUCCAUCCGCCUCCAUCCGCCUCCAUCCGCCGCUCCCCACGGUGCUUCGGGGCCCUGCCGUGGGCUGUGGAGAGCAGCGGGACCGCCGGAGGGCUCCGCUCCCCCCCCCUGCGGCGCUGGAUGAGGUGACCGCGGCAGCAUCCCAGCACGGGAGGCGAUCCUAGGGCAUGGGAUGGUUGGUGCCCGGCUCAGCGUUGGACAGGUGAGAUCUGUGAUCCAGACUUUGGGAAUGGGGCUGCCUUCAUGCCCCCCCUGGCCUGAGCACCAGGUAGUGCCAGUGUGGGGCUUGCUCCAGGGACUCUGCAAGCUCAUCCUGCAGACAGGGAUUCCCUGUUCCUAAUAUGAGGCCUGAAGAACUGCAGGCUCCCCUGGUUCUUGCUCCAUCCAUGUCAUGCAUCCCUCGGGAUAAACGGAUUUACCUCCCCACCAUUCCUGUGGAACCAGACCGAUCCCUGGGAGCCAUCCCAGCCUUUGGAUGCAUGUUGAUCCAAGAGCUGUGGCUCAGUGCAGUAGCUACAGGUUUCCAGUAACAUGCCAGAGCAAUGGAAGGUCUUUGGCUGCUGGGCUUCUCCUGCCCAUUGCUGUUACUCGCCCUUCCUACAGACUUCCCAGGAAUGUGGGGUGUAUCCAGCAGUCUGCAGCCUGCUCCUGGGGGGUGUUGUUGUUCUUCCAGGGUCAUUUGGCUGCUGGAUGAUGACCGUGGACCUGCCUGUGGUUAGGCCUCAGGAACUACUUGGUGGAAAACGCUGCUGAGCCCCCUCUCCAUGGGGAAGGGAUAGGCUUUGCCUUCCUUAGGGCCUGGAUCGUAGGAAGCCGACAUGGAAUUGGGUCUGCGUGGAGCUGAGGCAUGAGCUGGUCCAUGAGGGUUGCAGGGGCUCUGCAGAGCCAUAUCCUGGCCUCCUUACUGAGCUCCGCUCCCUGCACCCACCAAGAGGGACCCUGCUUGGCUCCUGCUGCAGCCCUGCAUGGAAGGACUGGAGUUUUCCAAGAAGAGCUUGGAGGGGGAGGGUCUGGGUAUGGAAUGUUGGAGGGUGAAUAAAUGCAAUCACUUUAA